RNAcentral lists this non-coding RNA (45 nucleotides) under Schistosoma mansoni. Lineage: Eukaryota; Metazoa; Platyhelminthes; Trematoda; Strigeidida; Schistosomatidae. The record is from RNAcentral.
ACCCAGCCGACGAAUCCCAAAUACGACGAAACGCUCGUACUGGAU